CCCUUAGAUGUCCUGGGCCGCACGCGCGUUACACUGAUGCAUUCAACGAGCUUAUAACCUUGGCCGAGAGGCCUGGGCAAUCUUGUUAACGUGCAUCGUGAUAGGGAUAGAUUAUUGAGAUUAUUAAUCUUGAACGAGGAAUUCCUAGUAAACGCAGAUCAUCAAUCUGCAUUGAUUACGUCCCUGCCCUUUGUACACACCGCCCGUCGCACCUACCGAUUGGAUGGUCCGGUGAAGCCUCGGGAUUGUGGUUCUUGCCGCUUUAUUGUGGCGUGACCGCGAGAACUUGUCUAAACCUUAUCAUCUAGAGGAAGGUGAAGUCGUAACA
Molecule: ribosomal RNA, 328 nt
Filed under: uncultured eukaryote
Lineage: Eukaryota
Description: partial 18S ribosomal RNA
Rfam family: Eukaryotic small subunit ribosomal RNA
Source: RNAcentral